RNAcentral lists this small nuclear RNA (99 nucleotides) under Suricata suricatta (meerkat). Its description in RNAcentral is "U2 spliceosomal RNA (ENSSSUG00005012622.1)". It matches the Rfam family "U2 spliceosomal RNA", at positions 1 to 101 of the family's 192-position model. From Rfam's summary of the family: U2 is a small nuclear RNA (snRNA) component of the spliceosome (involved in pre-mRNA splicing). Complementary binding between U2 snRNA (in an area lying towards the 5' end but 3' to hairpin I) and the branchpoint sequence (BPS) of the intron results the bulging out of an unpaired adenosine, on the BPS, which initiates a nucleophilic attack at the intronic 5' splice site, thus starting the first of two transesterification reactions that mediate splicing. Lineage: Eukaryota; Metazoa; Chordata; Mammalia; Carnivora; Herpestidae. The record is from RNAcentral.
AUUGCUUCUCUGCCUUUUGGCUAAGAUCAAGUGUAGUAUCUGUUCUAAUUAGUUUAAUAUUUAUUUCCAUUUGUAUACUUAUGGGUAAAUUAACUUCAU